This 274-nucleotide ribosomal RNA is filed under the name uncultured bacterium. RNAcentral describes it as "partial 16S ribosomal RNA". It matches the Rfam family "Bacterial small subunit ribosomal RNA", at positions 523 to 796 of the family's 1533-position model. The record is from RNAcentral.
AUACGAAAGGGGCUAGCGUUGUUCGGAAUUACUGGGCGUAAAGCGCACGUAGGCGGCCUUGUAAGUUGGGGGUGAAAUCCCGGAGCUCAACUCCGGAACUGCCUCCAAAACUACAAAGCUUGAGGAUGUGAGAGGAGAGUGGAAUUCCGAGUGUAGAGGUGAAAUUCGUAGAUAUUCGGAAGAACACCAGUGGCGAAGGCGACUCUCUGGCACAUUUCUGACGCUGAGGUGCGAAAGCGUGGGGAGCAAACAGGAUUAGAUACCCCGGUAGUCC